Molecule: long non-coding RNA, 817 nt
Filed under: Homo sapiens (human)
Lineage: Eukaryota; Metazoa; Chordata; Mammalia; Primates; Hominidae
Description: HSALNT0409429
Source: RNAcentral
AGAAAGUGUGAUAGUGGCUGUGUAGCAGAGGGGUCUUCUUUCACUAGUACAUUUGAUGUGCCAGGAGUACAUGGGUGGUGUGUGCCAAAGGACACUUGAGAUUUUUUCCAUUGUCUCAUGGUGGAAUACUGGAGGAGUAAGUGUUCCUACUUGUUAAGCAGGUAUUCUGUGUGUGCUGAAAGCAGGCCUUUCGCUGACGUGUGCGGGCAGCCAGUGCUGUGGAGCAAGGCCACCAUGGACUGUCUGCUGUUGAUGGUAAGAGUGUGCCACUCCUGUUCUUUGUCAUGGCCUCUGCUGUAAGAUGAGAGAAGUCUGACACCAGUGUGAUUCAUGACUCUUUUGUGGCCACAGCAUGUUCCGAAGAGAUGAUUGGAAGAUGGAAGUGGAGGGUUAAAUAAUGAAAUGCAGCUAACAUUUCGGAAAGUUUCUAAAAGUUGUACAACAUGCCCUACAGCUACUCUUUAAAUCUCCAAAUCAAAUGAGUUUCAGGUGGAGCCUCUGGGAGGUGAUGAGGUCAUGAGAGUGGAGCCUCAUGAAUGGGAUGAGCACUCCUACAAAAAGGAUUCCAGAGAGCUCGCUUGCUCCUUCCACAGUGUGAGGACACAGAGGGAAGGCUCUGUCUAUGAAUGAGAAAGUGGGUCCCCACCAGACAUUGAAUCUGCCGCAUCUUGAUACUGGACUUCCAGUCUCCAGAACUGUGGGCAAUAAAUGUCUGUUGUUUAUUACCUGUCCAGUAUCUUUGGUAUUUUGCUAUAGCAACCCAAAUGGACUAAGAAAACACCAGAGGCCAUACCUAAUAAAAAUAUUGACAUCACAA